UGGGGAAUCUUGGACAAUGGGCGAAAGCCUGAUCCAGCCAUGCCGCGUGUGUGAGGAAGGUCUUCGGAUUGUAAAGCACUUUAAGUUGGGAGGAAGGGCAGUUACCUAAUACGUGAUUGUUUUGACGUUACCGACAGAAUAAGCACCGGCUAACUCUGUGCCAGCAGCCGCGGUAAUACAGAGGGUGCAGGCGUUAAUCGGAAUUACUGGGCGUAAAGCGCGCGUAGGUGGUUAGUUAAGUUGGAUGUGAAAUCCCCGGGCUCAACCUGGGAACUGCAUUCAAAACUGACUGACUAGAGUAUGGUAGAGGGUGGUGGAAUUUCCUGUGUAGCGGUGAAAUGCGUAGAUAUAGGAAGGAACACCAGUGGCGAAGGCGACCACCUGGACUGAUACUGACACUGAGGUGCGAAAGCGUGGGGAGCAAACAGGAUUAGAUACCCCUGUAGUCCCUGAGCGGGCUGGCAAGGCGCAU
RNAcentral lists this ribosomal RNA (472 nucleotides) under uncultured bacterium. Its description in RNAcentral is "bacterial SSU rRNA". It matches the Rfam family "Bacterial small subunit ribosomal RNA", at positions 355 to 825 of the family's 1533-position model. The record is from RNAcentral.